RNAcentral lists this ribosomal RNA (489 nucleotides) under uncultured bacterium. Its description in RNAcentral is "partial 16S ribosomal RNA". It matches the Rfam family "Bacterial small subunit ribosomal RNA", at positions 30 to 507 of the family's 1533-position model. The record is from RNAcentral.
UUGAACGCUGGCGGCAGGCCUAACCCAUGCAAGUCGAACGGUAACAGGAAGCAGCUUGCUGCUUUGCUGACGAGUGGCGGACGGGUGAGUAAUGUCUGGGAAACUGCCCGAUGGAGGGGGAUAACUACUGGAAACGGUAGCUAAUACCGCAUAACGUCGCAAGACCAAAGAGGGGGACCUUAGGGCCUCUUGCCAUCCGAUGUGCCCAGAUGGGAUUAGCUAGUAGGUGGGGUAACGGCUCACCUAGGCGACGAUCCCUAGCUGGUCUGAGAGGAUGACCAGCCACACUGGAACUGAGACACGGUCCAGACUCCUACGGGAGGCAGCAGUGGGGAAUAUUGCACAAUGGGCGCAAGCCUGAUGCAGCCAUGCCGCGUGUAUGAAGAAGGCCUUCGGGUUGUAAAGUACUUUCAGCGGGGAGGAAGGGAGUAAAGUUAAUACCUUUGCUCAUUGACGUUACCCGCAGAAGAAGCACCGGCUAACUCCGUG